UACGGAGGGUGCGAGCGUUGUUCGGAAUUACUGGGCGUAAAGCGCGUGUAGGCGGAUCUAGAAGUCGGGUGUGAAAGCCCUGGGCUUAACCCAGGAAGUGCGCCCGAAACCAUAGGUCUUGAGGUCCGGAGGGGAUCGGGGAAUUCCCAGUGUAGAGGUGAAAUUCGUAGAUAUUGGGAGGAACACCGGCGGCGAAGGCGCCGAUCUGGACGGAUUCUGACGCUGAGACGCGAAAGCGUGGGUAG
Molecule: ribosomal RNA, 245 nt
Filed under: uncultured bacterium
Lineage: Bacteria
Description: partial 16S ribosomal RNA
Rfam family: Bacterial small subunit ribosomal RNA
Source: RNAcentral